CUGGGGGCGGAGCGGGGCGGGACUCCGCGGCGUCUCUGUGUCUCUUGCGCGCGGUCGCUGCCUCCUUCUCCAGCGCCGCUGCCAGCCGGGCUCCGGCGCCCUGGACCCAGGACCUGGAAAGCUACAGAGGGAGGCUCCUUUUUGGUGGACCAUUGGAAGUUUAUUGGCCUGAGAGAGCCAUCUGUUAUCAUUCCAAGUUUGGGUGAGCCUGGAAAUGAAGAAAGAAGUAUGGAUUUGCAUGUUGAUGUUACAGUCAAUGUUUAACCAUUUAAAAAUAAAUUAAAUAAAAAAACUUUUUGAAACUGUUAG
This 309-nucleotide long non-coding RNA is filed under the name Gopherus agassizii (Agassiz's desert tortoise). Its description in RNAcentral is "lncRNA (ENSGAGG00000005963.1)". Lineage: Eukaryota; Metazoa; Chordata; Testudines; Testudinidae. The record is from RNAcentral.